GCCUGGGUGGCUCAGUUGGUGAAACAUCUGACUUCGGCUCAGGUCAUGAUCUUGCAGUCCAUGGGUUCGAGCCCCAUGUCAGGCU
Felis catus (domestic cat) is the source of this 85-nucleotide non-coding RNA. The record is from Rfam. NCBI's taxonomy places the organism in Eukaryota, Metazoa, Chordata, Mammalia, Carnivora, Felidae.